RNAcentral lists this ribosomal RNA (248 nucleotides) under uncultured bacterium. RNAcentral describes it as "partial 16S ribosomal RNA". It matches the Rfam family "Bacterial small subunit ribosomal RNA", at positions 15 to 252 of the family's 1533-position model. The record is from RNAcentral.
GAUCCUGGCUCAGGAUGAACGCUAGCUACAGGCUUAACACAUGCAAGUCGAGGGGAAACGAUAGAGAAAGCUUGCUUUUUCUAGGCGUCGACCGGCGUACGGGUGAGUAACGCGUAUCCAACCUGCCCACCACUUGGGGAUAACCUUGCGAAAGUAAGACUAAUACCCAAUGAUAUCUCUAGAAGACAUCUGAAAGGGAUUAAAGAUUUAUCGGUGAUGGAUGGGGAUGCGUCUGAUUAGCUUGUUGG